UCUACUAAAAAUUAUAUUUUUUAUACGAUUAACUAAAAAAAAUGAUUUUUAUUUUAUGCUUCUUUUAACUACUAACUAAUCAUUAAUAGGAUUUUUAUAAGUAAUAUAUGUAGUUAAGAGGCUAUGAACCCCAUAUUCACCACUCAUUAAAUUGAUGCCACACAACAUGUUUAGAAGGUAGAAUGGAGGGACUAUCAAUUGUGAAAUU
Molecule: long non-coding RNA, 208 nt
Filed under: Physcomitrium patens
Lineage: Eukaryota; Viridiplantae; Streptophyta; Bryopsida; Funariales; Funariaceae
Description: long non-coding RNA (PPAT_LNC004235)
Source: RNAcentral